Molecule: ribosomal RNA, 880 nt
Filed under: uncultured bacterium
Lineage: Bacteria
Description: bacterial SSU rRNA
Rfam family: Bacterial small subunit ribosomal RNA
Source: RNAcentral
UAGAGUUUGAUCCUGGCUCAGGAUGAGCGCUGGCGGCGUGCCUAAUACAUGCAAGUCGAGCGGUAAGGCCUCUUCGGAGGUACACGAGCGGCGGACGGCUGAGUAACACGUAGGAACGUACCCCAAAGUGAGGGAUAACUGCUCGAAAGAGUAGCUAAUACCGCAUGUGAUCCACGGAUUAAAGCUUUAUGCGCUUUGGGAACGGCCUGCGUUCGAUUAGCUUGUUGGUAGUGUAAUGGACUACCAAGGCGACGAUCGAUAGCUGGUCUGAGAGGAUGAUCAGCCAGACUGGGACUGAGACACGGCCCAGACUCCUACGGGAGGCAGCAGUAGGGAAUUUUCCACAAUGGGCGAAAGCCUGAUGGAGCAACGCCGCGUGCAGGAUGAAUGCCUUAGGGUUGUAAACUGCUUUUAUUAGUGACGAUUAUGACGGUAACUAAUGAAUAAGGACCUGCUAACUACGUGCCAGCAGCCGCGGUCAUACGUAGGGUCCAAGCGUUAUCCGGAAUUACUGGGCGUAAAGAGUUGCGUAGGUGGCAUAGUAAGUAGAUAGUGAAAGCGUGUGGCUCAACCAUACAUCCAUUAUCUAAACUGCUAAGCUUGAAGAUGAGAGAGGUAGAUGGAAUUCCUGAUGUAGGGGUAAUAUCCGUAGAUAUUAGGAGGAACACCGAUGGCGUAGGCAGUCUACUGGCUCAUUCUUGACACUAAGGCACGAAAGCGUGGGGAGCAAACAGGAUUAGAUACCCUGGUAGUCCACGCCGUAACUAUGGAUGCUAGCUGUAAGCCGUAUCGACCCGGCUUGUAGCGAAGCUAACGCGUUAAGCAUCCCGCCUGUGGAGUACGGUCGCAAGACUAAAACAUAAAGGGAAUUGACGGGGGA